UACGUAGGGUGCGAGCGUUAAUCGGAAUUACUGGGCGUAAAGCGUGCGCAGGCGGUUCUGCAAGACAGAUGUGAAAUCCCCGGGCUCAACCUGGGAACUGCAUUUGUGACUGCAUGACUAGAGUACGGCAGAGGGGGAUGGAAUUCCGCGUGUAGCAGUGAAAUGCGUAGAUAUGCGGAGGAACACCGAUGGCGAAGGCAAUCCCCUGGGCCUGCACUGACGCUCAUGCACGAAAGCGUGGGGAGCAAACAGG
This 253-nucleotide ribosomal RNA is filed under the name uncultured bacterium. RNAcentral's name for it is "partial 16S ribosomal RNA". It matches the Rfam family "Bacterial small subunit ribosomal RNA", at positions 524 to 776 of the family's 1533-position model. The record is from RNAcentral.